This 69-nucleotide transfer RNA is filed under the name Ictidomys tridecemlineatus (thirteen-lined ground squirrel). RNAcentral describes it as "Spermophilus tridecemlineatus (thirteen-lined ground squirrel) tRNA". It matches the Rfam family "tRNA". From Rfam's summary of the family: Transfer RNA (tRNA) molecules are approximately 80 nucleotides in length. The record is from Rfam by way of RNAcentral. Lineage: Eukaryota; Metazoa; Chordata; Mammalia; Rodentia; Sciuridae.
GGGGUUGUGGCUCAGUGGUAGAGCGAUCCCCUAACAUGGGUGAGGCACUAGGUUCGAUCCUCAGCUCCA